GGGGAAUAUUGCACAAUGGGCGCAAGCCUGAUGCAGCAACGCCGCGCGAGGGAUGACGGCCUUCGGGUUGUAAACCUCUUUUAGUAGGGAAGAAGCGCAAGUGACGGUACCUGCAGAAAAAGCACCGGCUAACUACGUGCCAGCAGCCGCGGUAAUACGUAGGGUGCGAGCGUUGUCCGGAAUUAUUGGGCGUAAAGAGCUUGUAGGCGGUUUGUCGCGUCUGCCGUGAAAAUCCGGGGCUCAACUCCGGACUUGCGGUGGGUACGGGCAGACUAGAGUGUGGUAGGGGAGACUGGAAUUCCUGGUGUAGCGGUGAAAUGCGCAGAUAUCAGGAGGAACACCGAUGGCGAAGGCAGGUCUCUGGGCCACUACUGACGCUGAGAAGCGAAAGCGUAGGGAGCGAAC
Molecule: ribosomal RNA, 405 nt
Filed under: uncultured bacterium
Lineage: Bacteria
Description: bacterial SSU rRNA
Rfam family: Bacterial small subunit ribosomal RNA
Source: RNAcentral